GACGAACGCUGGCGGCGUGCUUAACACAUGCAAGUCGAACGGAUAGGCCCUGCUUUUGUGGGGUGCUCGAGUGGCGAACGGGUGAGUAACACGUGAGUAACCUGCCCUUGACUUUGGGAUAACUUCAGGAAACUGGGGCUAAUACCGGAUAGGAGCUCCUGCUGCAUGGUGGGGGUUGGAAAGUUUCGGCGGUUGGGGAUGGACUCGCGGCUUAUCAGCUUGUUGGUGGGGUAGUGGCUUACCAAGGCUUUGACGGGUAGCCGGCCUGAGAGGGUGACCGGCCACAUUGGGACUGAGAUACGGCCCAGACUCCUACGGGAGGCAGCAGUGGGGAAUAUUGAACAAUGGGCGGAAGCCUGAUGCAGCAACGCCGCGUGCGGGAUGACGGCCUUCGGGUUGUAAACCGCUUUCGCCUGUGACGAAGCGUGAGUGACGGUAAUGGGUAAAGAAGCACCGGCUAACUACGUG
Molecule: ribosomal RNA, 468 nt
Filed under: uncultured bacterium
Lineage: Bacteria
Description: partial 16S ribosomal RNA
Rfam family: Bacterial small subunit ribosomal RNA
Source: RNAcentral